GAUGAACGCUGGCGGCGUGCUUAAUACAUGCAAGUCGAGCGAACGGACGAGAAGUUUGUUUCUCGGAUGUUAGCGGAGGACGGGAGAGAAACACGUGGAAAACCUACUUAUAAGACGGGGAAAACUACGGGAAGCGGUAGCAAAUACGGGAGAAUAUUUUGAACCGCAGGGUGCAAAAGUGAAAGACGGUCUUGCGGGCAGUAAUAGAUGGAUCCGCGCUGCAUUAGCUAGUUGGUAAGGUAACGGCUUACCAAGGCAACGAUGCAUAGCCGACCUGAGAGGGUGAUCGGCCACACUGGAACUGAGACACGGUCCAGACUCCUACGGGAGGCAGCAGUAGGGAAUCUGCCGCAGUGGGCGAAAGCCUGACGGAGCAACGCCGCGUGAGUGAUGAAGGUCUUCGGAUCGUAAUACUCUGUUAUUAGGUAAGAACAUAUGUGUACGUAACUGUGCACAUCUUGACGGUACCUAAUCAGAAAGCCACGGCUAACUACGUG
RNAcentral lists this ribosomal RNA (497 nucleotides) under uncultured bacterium. RNAcentral's name for it is "partial 16S ribosomal RNA". It matches the Rfam family "Bacterial small subunit ribosomal RNA", at positions 28 to 507 of the family's 1533-position model. The record is from RNAcentral.